GUCCCUACGGGGCGCAGCAGUGAGGAAUAUUGGUCAAUGGCCGGAAGGCUGAACCAGCCAAGUCGCGUGAGGGACGACUGCCCUAUGGGUUGUAAACCUCUUUUAUAAGGGAAGAAUAAAUGCUACGUGUAGCAUGAUGCCUGUACCUUAUGAAUAAGCAUCGGCUAACUCCGUGCCAGCAGCCGCGGUAAUACGGAGGAUGCGAGCGUUAUCCGGAUUUAUUGGGUUUAAAGGGUGCGUAGGCGGUUUGUCAAGUCAGCGGUAAAAAUUCCGGGCUCAACCCGGUCCCGCCGUUGAAACUGGCG
This 305-nucleotide ribosomal RNA is filed under the name uncultured bacterium. RNAcentral describes it as "bacterial SSU rRNA". It matches the Rfam family "Bacterial small subunit ribosomal RNA", at positions 335 to 638 of the family's 1533-position model. The record is from RNAcentral.